This 447-nucleotide ribosomal RNA is filed under the name uncultured bacterium. RNAcentral describes it as "bacterial SSU rRNA". It matches the Rfam family "Bacterial small subunit ribosomal RNA", at positions 329 to 793 of the family's 1533-position model. The record is from RNAcentral.
UGCCAGACUCCUACGGGAGGCAGCAGUGGGGGAUAUUGCACAAUGGGGGCAACCCUGAUGCAGCGACGCCGCGUGAGCGAUGGAGUACUUCGGUAUGUAAAGCUCUGUCAGCAGGGAAGAGAAUGACGGUACCUGACCAAGAAGCCCCGGCUAAAUACGUGCCAGCAGCCGCGGUAAUACGUAGGGGGCAAGCGUUAUCCGGAUUUACUGGGUGUAAAGGGAGCGUAGACGGCGAUGCAAGUCUGAAGUGAAAGGCGGGGGCCCAACCCCCGGACUGCUUUGGACUCUGUAUGGCUGGAGUGCAGGAGAGGUAAGUGGAAUUCCUGGUGUAGCGGUGAAAUGCGUAGAUAUUAGGAGGAACACCAGUGGCGAAGGCGACUUUCUGGACUGUACCUGACGCUGAGGCGCGAAAGCGUGGGUAGCGAACGGGAUUAGAUACCCGCGUAA